GGUGAAAAACUACAAUGAUUUUUUUCUCCCAGAGCCAUUAUUUUGAAGCUGCAGAUGUAGCUGGCCUGUUAUCUACACAUGGAUUAACCCCUUUUGUCCCAGUAUUUUUAUUAUAUUACAUUUUUUGAGACCUGGGAAAAACAGCCUUAAUCAUGGCUUCAAAAUGCCGAGCAGUUCAAGCACAUUCACCUAAAAGUCAUAAUCUUCUGCAACAGUAAACACUGACAAAACUGUCAGAGACAGAGACUCAAUGUCGGAAGGAAAAAUUGAAGGGAAGGAGACGUGGAUGAAGGGAAAAAUGGGAUUAGGACUUGCGUAAAAGGAUGAAGUGACGGAUGAGGAGGACGGGUAAAACAGAGGGGAAUCGGCAAGGGCGGAGGGGACACAGAAGUGGAAAGGAAGGAAUCAGGGACGGAAAGAGGCAGAGAAGAUGGUCUGACCAUCCAAUGCAGGGCUGUGUUUAGGGACACCUCUGGGACAUUACAGAUGGCUGGGCAACAGUUGAGCGAGGGAAAAGGGAAGUACUUCUCUUACAAAAUGGUGACACCAAAUUUUGGACGAUCUGCAAAAUAAUUGAAAUCCGACCAUACAGACACGAAACCGAGUGCCACUGUUUGUCUUUGGACUUCUAUGUGCUCUGAUUUUUAAACGCAAGCCUGAGCAAAAGUGUUGACUCACCACCACUUAGGGGGAAUUGAGGAAUUUGCCUAUCGUGUUCGGUAACGUUACAAAGUGGAUUAUUGAUGCUGCACCUGGGGGAGAAAAUCCUAUUUAAGCCACUAAGGGUUUAUAGAAUGCAGCGGCUGAGACAAUGGGGAGAGUCACAAUGUCGUCAAAGUCAAAUCUAGUAAGGUCAGUUUAAAAAGUGAAAGUCUUUAACAGCAAAUACCACCACACCAUUUAGUGAGGAGAGAUUCAUGUACCAACGGAUUUAUUUUCCAUUCUGUAUUUAUUUCUGUUCGUCCAUUUCCAACGGUAAAUGAGCCAUGCCUCACCUGGCCUCAGGUAAGAUGAGAGGAUCUGAAUAAAAAAAAAAAGCUUUCUUAACCUCCUAACGCUGUGUCCAGGAUCUGGUGACUGUAUGUUGUUAUCACCAGUAUGGUUGUUAAUUUAAUGCGGCAAACUCACCGCUCAUUUCUUGUCUUCUGUCAUGCUACUCAAUUAUUUACCUGCUGAUUCCAUUUCUUCAUCAUUUCCUGUAGGAAAAAUGAUGUUCUCAUCUUUCACUUUUUCUUGGCUUUAAAUGUAUCCUAUAAUGAGCAUGAGCCUUAAAACCAACAGUUACCUUUGACCAACCAAUGCUGUUGCCAAAGGUAAUACUUAAAAUCCGACAAUGAUGAAGCAGUCUGAUAUUUGUAACAUAUCCUUAUUGCACACAAGCCUCAGGUUUGGCUUAGUUGAAAUAUUUUGAAACUGUC
This is a long non-coding RNA of Gasterosteus aculeatus aculeatus (three-spined stickleback), 1418 nucleotides long. The record is from Ensembl. Lineage: Eukaryota; Metazoa; Chordata; Actinopteri; Perciformes; Gasterosteidae.